CGGAAACGGUAGCACAGAGAGCUUGCUCUCGGGUGACGAGUGGCGGACGGGUGAGUAAUGUCUGGGAAACUGCCUGAUGGAGGGGGAUAACUACUGGAAACGGUAGCUAAUACCGCAUAACGUCUUCGGACCAAAGAGGGGGACCUUCGGGCCUCUUGCCAUCGGAUGUGCCCAGAUGGGAUUAGCUAGUAGGUGGGGUAACGGCUCACCUAGGCGACGAUCCCUAGCUGGUCUGAGAGGAUGACCAGCCACACUGGAACUGAGACACGGUCCAGACUCCUACGGGAGGCAGCAGUGGGGAAUAUUGCACAAUGGGCGCAAGCCUGAUGCAGCCAUGCCGCGUGUAUGAAGAAGGCCUUCGGGUUGUAAAGUACUUUCAGCGGGGAGGAAGGGAGUGAGGUUAAUAACCUCAUUCAUUGACGUUACCCGCAGAAGAAGCACCGGCUAACUCCGUGCCAGCAGCCGCGGUAAUACGGAGGGUGCAAGCGUUAAUCGGAAUUACUGGGCGUAAAGCGCACGCAGGCGGUCUGUCAAGUCGGAUGUGAAAUCCCCGGGCUCAACCCGGGAACUGCAUUCGAAACUGGCAGACUCGAGUCUUGUAGAGGGGGGUAGAAUUCCAGGUGUAGCGGUGAAAUGCGUAGAGAUCUGGAGGAAUACCGGUGGCGAAGGCGGCCCCCUGGACAAAGACUGACGCUCAGGUGCGAAAGCGUGGGGAGCAACAGAAAACCCCCCCCGGGGAAAAAAAAACAGUGGUUUUUACUC
RNAcentral lists this ribosomal RNA (762 nucleotides) under bacterium. RNAcentral describes it as "bacterial SSU rRNA". It matches the Rfam family "Bacterial small subunit ribosomal RNA", at positions 63 to 828 of the family's 1533-position model. The record is from RNAcentral.